CAUGGUUGUCGUCAGCUCGUGUCGUGAGAUGUUGGGUUAAGUCCGCAACGAGCGCAACCCUACUUGUUAGUUGUCCAUCAUUCAGUUGGGCACUCUAGCGAGACUGCCGGUAAUAAACCGGAGGAAGUGGGAUGACGUCAAAUCAUCAUGCCCCUUAUGACCUGGGCUACACACGUGCUACAAUGGUUGGUACAACGAGUUGCGAGUCGGUGACGGCGAGCUAAUCUCUUAAAGCCAAUCUCAGUUCGGAUUGUAGGCUGCAACUCGCCUACAUGAAGUCGGAAUCGCUAGUAAUCGCGGAUCAGCACGCCGCGGUGAAUACGUUCCCGGGCCUU
This 335-nucleotide ribosomal RNA is filed under the name uncultured Streptococcus sp. RNAcentral's name for it is "bacterial SSU rRNA". It matches the Rfam family "Bacterial small subunit ribosomal RNA", at positions 1044 to 1382 of the family's 1533-position model. Lineage: Bacteria; Bacillati; Bacillota; Bacilli; Lactobacillales; Streptococcaceae. The record is from RNAcentral.